AUGGGCUCCUGUUCAUACAGCCACCACCACACACUCCUCCACCGGCUACUGUUCAACCAGCCCUCUCCACGGGGUCCUGUUCAACCACCCCUCCACGGGCUACUGUUCAUCCAGCCCUCCACCGGCUACUGUUCAAUCAGCCCUCCAUCGGCUACUGUUCAACCUUCCCACCAAGGGGUCCUGUUCAUCCAGCCCUCCACGGGGGGCCUGUUCAUCCACGCCCAACCGGCUCGAUCAAUCUGGUCCUGUUCAUCCAACGGCAACACCGCGGGGUCCUGUGGGGACAACAUGCUAAUUGAACAUUGUAAAACAAGGGACAUGCUGACUUGGGGUUCUGAUGCUAGAGCUAGCAUAGUUAACCACGACCAAAAUCUGGACAGCAGCCAACAUGCAGUCAAGGAUGGGGUAGAUUCUACUGUUCAAAAGACUCACAAGGCAUCUUUUGUUGAACUUGAUGUAGCUUCAUCCACCCCGGGUGAGGUGAACGAGUCAUGGAAAUGCAAAUUUGACCAUUCAGAGGUCUGCAUUAGUUUGGACAAGGUUUUCAAAAUGGUUGAGGAUAAAUGUCUCCGCUCGUACAAAACCCUACCUCCUGAUUUUUCUGUUGGCAAGCUGAUGAAUGAGAUAUGCCAAUAUGUUGCGGAGUCACGUGCUGUGCAUUUUGAAGCUCAAAACAAUGGUGGCAGCUUGCAAGGACAUGCUUUGGAGACGUAUGCUCCCUUUGUGAAGCUAAUCACUUGUAAGCAUGUUGUUGAUGGGAAUGGUAAUGCUGCCGUAGGAUCAUCCUUGAAACCUAGCUUUCAAAAUUGGGUAGUUGCUUAUCAGCCUCAGGAAGCACUUUUUAAGCAAAGGCCACAACAUGAUGUUGCUAACAUAACCAAGGGAGAAGAAUGA
This 894-nucleotide ribosomal RNA is filed under the name Triticum aestivum (bread wheat). RNAcentral describes it as "partial small subunit ribosomal RNA". Lineage: Eukaryota; Viridiplantae; Streptophyta; Magnoliopsida; Poales; Poaceae. The record is from RNAcentral.